Non-coding RNA from Melanomma pulvis-pyrius CBS 109.77, 87 nucleotides. NCBI's taxonomy places the organism in Eukaryota, Fungi, Ascomycota, Dothideomycetes, Pleosporales, Melanommataceae. The record is from the annotation of a GenBank genome assembly.
GGGCCUGUGGCCAAAUGGCAAGGCGCCUGACUACGAUCAUUCCGAUCAGCAAUCAGGAGAUUCUAGGUUCGAUCCCUAGCAGGCUCG